UCAGUCGACUCCUACGGGGAGGCAGCAGUGGGGAAUAUUGCACAAUGGGGGAAACCCUGAUGCAGCCAUGCCGCGUGUGUGAAGAAGGCCUUCGGGUUGUAAAGCACUUUCAGUAAGGAGGAAGGUAGUGUAGUUAACACCUGCACUAUUUGACGUUACCUACAGAAGAAGCACCGGCUAACUCCGUGCCAGCAGCCGCGGUAAUACGGAGGGUGCGAGCGUUAAUCGGAAUUACUGGGCGUAAAGCGCAUGCAGGCGGCCUGUUAAGUCAGAUGUGAAAGCCCGGGGCUUAACCUCGGAAUUGCAUUUGAAACUGGCAGGCUAGAGUCUUGUAGAGGGGGGUAGGAAUUUCAGGUGUAGCGGUGAAAUGCGUAGAGAUCUGAAGGAAUACCAGUGGCGAAGGCGGCCCCCUGGACAAAGACUGACGCUCAGAUGCGAAAGCGUGGGGAGCAAACAGGAUUAGAUACCCUGGUAG
Molecule: ribosomal RNA, 475 nt
Filed under: uncultured bacterium
Lineage: Bacteria
Description: bacterial SSU rRNA
Rfam family: Bacterial small subunit ribosomal RNA
Source: RNAcentral